CGAACGAGUUCUCGUUGAUGAUCGGUGCUUGCACCGAGAUUCAACAUGGGAACGAGUGGCGGACGGGUGAGUAACACGUGGGUAACCUGCCCUUAAGUGGGGGAUAACAUUUGGAAACAGAUGCUAAUACCGCAUAGAUCCAAGAACCGCAUGGUUCUUGGCUGAAAGAUGGCGUAAGCUAUCGCUUUUGGAUGGACCCGCGGCGUAUUAGCUAGUUGGUGAGGUAAUGGCUCACCAAGGCGAUGAUACGUAGCCGAACUGAGAGGUUGAUCGGCCACAUUGGGACUGAGACACGGCCCAAACUCCUACGGGAGGCAGCAGUAGGGAAUCUUCCACAAUGGACGCAAGUCUGAUGGAGCAACGCCGCGUGAGUGAAGAAGGCUUUCGGGUCGUAAAACUCUGUUGUUGGAGAAGAAUGGUCGGCAGAGUAACUGUUGUCGGCGUGACGGUAUCCAACCAGAAAGCCACGGCUAACUACGUGCCAGCAGCCGCGGUAAUACGUAGGUGGCAAGCGUUAUCCGGAUUUAUUGGGCGUAAAGCGAGCGCAGGCGGUUUUUUAAGUCUGAUGUGAAAGCCCUCGGCUUAACCGAGGAAGCGCAUCGGAAACUGGGAAACUUGAGUGCAGAAGAGGACAGUGGAACUCCAUGUGUAGCGGUGAAAUGCGUAGAUAUAUGGAAGAACACCAGUGGCGAAGGCGGCUGUCUGGUCUGUAACUGACGCUGAGGCUCGAAAGCAUGGGUAGCGAACAGGAUUAGAUACCCUGGUAGUCCAUGCCGUAAACGAUGAAUGCUAGGUGUUGGAGGGUUUCCGCC
RNAcentral lists this ribosomal RNA (812 nucleotides) under uncultured bacterium. RNAcentral's name for it is "bacterial SSU rRNA". It matches the Rfam family "Bacterial small subunit ribosomal RNA", at positions 63 to 838 of the family's 1533-position model. The record is from RNAcentral.